GGGGAGUUUCUAUUGCUUCAAGGAAGAGAAAAAAAAAAAAGCAAAGAAAAGAAAAGUCAGAAGCUUUGCUUCUGCAAAAAGUGAGAGAGACAGGUGAGAGUGUCAGGAGAGAAAAAGUAAACAAAGAAAAAAGAAGAAAAUAGGACACACUGUUCAUCUUCCUCGUGGAUUCCUCCUCCGCGAAGCCCCAAGCCGGUGUUGCUUCCACGACCGCGACCACCGCCGUCCGCGAAGCCCCACAUCGCUGCCGCUCCGGUGCCCCACAUCGCCGCCGGUCCGAGAUCUCCACCAGCACGCCUUGCGCCAGUCACCGCCGCCCGUGAAGCUUCCGCUACUGCUCGCUCUGCCGCGCCACCGCCUUGCAGCAGCCCGCCCUGCUCUGCUGGUCUCCGCACUCCGCCUCCCUCUGUAGCUCUACACCCAUCUGCCUCGACGUGCUCCGCCAGCCCUGCACCCAAUCGCGACCCAACGCUACCGGAGCCCCAAAUCAGCCGCACCACCACGACGCCGAGCCUCACUGGAGAUCUGCUCUCUGCUCCACCUACAGCUGCGCCACCGUUCAGACCCACGAAGCGCUCCGCGGCCAACUACACCAGCACCGCCGCUCCUGUUCCGCCGCGCGACCCACCUCUGCAGCGCCCAGACCCCA
RNAcentral lists this long non-coding RNA (649 nucleotides) under Eucalyptus grandis. Its description in RNAcentral is "long non-coding RNA (EGRA_LNC004524)". The record is from RNAcentral. Lineage: Eukaryota; Viridiplantae; Streptophyta; Magnoliopsida; Myrtales; Myrtaceae.